This 162-nucleotide ribosomal RNA is filed under the name uncultured bacterium. RNAcentral's name for it is "partial 16S rRNA". It matches the Rfam family "Bacterial small subunit ribosomal RNA", at positions 358 to 511 of the family's 1533-position model. The record is from RNAcentral.
GGAAUCUUCCACAAUGGACGCAAGUCUGAUGGAGCAACGCCGCGUGAGUGAAGGAGGUCUUCGGAUCGUAAAACUCUGUUGUUAGAGAAGAACACGAGUGAGAGUAACUGUUCAUUCGAUGACGGUAUCUAACCAGCAAGUCACGGCUAACUACGUGUCCAG